GAAAAUGACAAUAAAUUAAAAAAAAAAUAGAUAUAUUAAAAAAUUACUAACUUCAUCUUGUUCAUUUUGUUCUUGAUAUUUUCUAACCAUAUAUUUCUUUUCCAAUUUCUUAAAAGUUCAAAUUGUUAAAAUAAAACUUAAUCCAUAAACUUAGGAGACAUAUAAAUAAAUCAUAUUGCCACGUAGACGUAUAUGUCACACAAUUAACAAUAAAGUUAAUCUCAAAUACUAAAGUGUCAAAUGUUUAGAUAUACAUGAGAUUUUUUUGAGUUUUUGGUCGAAUAGAUAUUAAAAUGACGUCGUAUCAUUCAGGUACCAAAAAUAGUGGUUUAUCCAUUUAUACACGGAUGCAUAAACUUGAGAAAUUGAUCUGGCAAAAUCAACAUCCAAAAUCCAGUUUGAUUGUAAUGAAGCAAUUUUUUAUACCAAAUUUUUAAGUUAAAAAUGAGUUUGAAUUUAUAAUUGGUCCUUAAAAUUUGAUUGGAUAUGGGAAAAUCCGGUUAUUUUGAAGAAAAUACAACUUUUAAAUAAAUCCAGAUUUGAAUUCAUAUUGGAAGAAAAAUCGAUUAUGAAACUCUAACAAAAUUUGAAACGGAUUAUUAAUUCAGUUUUGGGAGAGAAAUGUGGUUUUGGAUUUAAUAUUGAAUCUAAACAUAAAUGAAUGAAUUGUAAAUAAAAUUAAGAAUAGAGAGUAUGGAUGCGGUCAACAUGAAAAAUCAAAAUCCUGAAUAGACAGUAUUGUGUUUAUUAUUUAGUUACAGAAUCCCGUUAUCCUUUUUAACAUCUCCGCAACUGAAUUUGCAGCCAUGACGACGAGGUUUAUCAGGAUCAGAAUCACUUGGUUCUACCAUAAGUCCUCUCAAACACCGUCUUCGAACCGUUGGUCGAUAAGGUAACUUCUCUACCCUGCUAACAUUGCUUCCUUCAUUCCCACGGUUUUCUAAACCUCGUUUAACCUCAGGCUCAUGCUUUUGGGGAAGAAUGACACGAACGCCAGGGUCUCUUCCCGUUAAUGACCCUUGCAACAUGAAUGAAUUAUUCAUACUCUGUAUGUUACUAUUCACAUAUGCUUUCCCACCUUCCUCUUUCUCUUCUUUUUCAUUCGUUCUAUGUAUCUUGUGGAUUGACCCUUUUUUCUUUGUUGACUGUGACUGAG
This 1156-nucleotide long non-coding RNA is filed under the name Cicer arietinum (chickpea). Its description in RNAcentral is "long non-coding RNA (CARI_LNC001559)". The record is from RNAcentral. Lineage: Eukaryota; Viridiplantae; Streptophyta; Magnoliopsida; Fabales; Fabaceae.